GAUGAACGCUGGCGGCGUGCCUAAUACAUGCAAGUCGAGCGAACGGACGAGAAGCUUUCUUCCCUGCUGUUAGCGGCGGACGGGUGAGUAACACGUGGAUAACCUACCUAUUAGACUGGGAUAACUUCGGGAAACCGGAGCUAAUACCGGAUAAUAUUUUGAACCGCAUGGUUCAAAAGUGAAAGACGGUCUUGCUGUCACUUAUAGAUGGAUCCGCGCUGCAUUAGCUAGUUGGUAAGGUAACGGCUUACCAAGGCAACGAUGCAUAGCCGACCUGAGAGGGUGAUCGGCCACACUGGAACUGAGACACGGUCCAGACUCCUACGGGAGGCAGCAGUAGGGAAUCUUCCGCAAUGGGCGAAAGCCUGACGGAGCAACGCCGCGUGAGUGAUGAAGGUCUUCGGAUCGUAAAACUCUGUUAUUAGGGAAGAACAUAUGUGUAAGAAACUGUGCACAUCUUGACGGUACCUAAUCAGAAAGCCACGGCUAACUACGUG
Molecule: ribosomal RNA, 497 nt
Filed under: uncultured bacterium
Lineage: Bacteria
Description: partial 16S ribosomal RNA
Rfam family: Bacterial small subunit ribosomal RNA
Source: RNAcentral